GACGAACGCUGGCGGCGCGCCUAACACAUGCAAGUCGAACGAGCGAGAGAGAGCUUGCUUUCUCGAGCGAGUGGCGAACGGGUGAGUAACGCGUGAGGAACCUGCCUCAAAGAGGGGGACAACAGUUGGAAACGACGGCUAAUACCGCAUAAGCCCACGACCCCGCCUCGGGUGGGGGGAAAAGGAGCAAUCGGCUUUGAGAUGGCCGCGCGUCCGAUUAGCUAGUUGGUGAGGUAACGGCCCACCAAGGCGACGAUCGGUAGCCGGACUGAGAGGUUGAACGGCCACAUUGGGACUGAGACACGGCCCAGACUCCUACGGGAGGCAGCAGUGGGGAAUAUUGCACAAUGGGGGAAACCCUGAUGCAGCGACGCCGCGUGGAGGAAGAAGGUCUUCGGAUUGUAAACUCCUGUUGUUGAGGAAGAUAAUGACGGUACUCAACAAGGAAGUGACGGCUAACUACGUG
RNAcentral lists this ribosomal RNA (466 nucleotides) under uncultured bacterium. RNAcentral's name for it is "partial 16S ribosomal RNA". It matches the Rfam family "Bacterial small subunit ribosomal RNA", at positions 28 to 507 of the family's 1533-position model. The record is from RNAcentral.